Molecule: long non-coding RNA, 792 nt
Filed under: Dromaius novaehollandiae (emu)
Lineage: Eukaryota; Metazoa; Chordata; Aves; Casuariiformes; Dromaiidae
Description: lncRNA (ENSDNVG00000007996.1)
Source: RNAcentral
UUGAGUGAAAUGACUUUGCAAACUUAAAAACGUAGCAGCAAAGCAAAACUAUCCUGAGCUGUGUUUCGUUACAACCAGAAUAAAACAUGUCUAUUUGAAAUCCCCAGAAUGAUUGRGAAAUAUGAUGGUUCCAUAUUUCCUAAUUUGCAAAUGGCACUAAAAAUAGUUGGAAAUACAUCAGGUAUUGCUCUGUAUGAACUGUUGUUACAAUUGCUGUAGGACUGUGAGCAGAUAYCCACAAAACAGUCUCUUUACUGACUUACCUGACAUAACAUGAAUAAAAUUGAGAAUCAUUAUACUUCCUCUGUCAAUAUUACUGCCUGUACAGUAGCAAAAACCGUAGCAAAAUACACCUCGAUAGGAUGCAAAAUCCUAGCUUGAUAUAAAUUGACUUGAUUGGAGUCUUAGAUUGGUUAUCUUAGAUUGAAACCUAAGGAUUUGGCAUGUAAUACUAUGUAUUAUCAAGAGAGAGUGUUUUSUCUGAAAGGUUAAUUCUGACAGGUGCCGAAAACUUUCUAUUCCCAUUCAAGUUGCAGGAUGUUGGAUGAUGCACUUACUGUCUUGCAAGUGGCACAGUGUAGCAUCUUUUUUCUGCAAGGCAAAACAUAGGACAAGCAUGGAAGCAGAAAAUCAAAGGCUGGUUAAUGGGAAAGUGAUGAAGAAAUGGUUGUAUCUCACAGAGAAUGAGAGAAGUUUCACAGAAAAUGGCUGAAGAAAGGUCAAAUUUGUGAGUAUUGUAUGUUGUGAAAUGUACAUUGUGCAAUUAAUGAAAAACUUAUGAAAUUAAGUUUC